Molecule: ribosomal RNA, 484 nt
Filed under: uncultured bacterium
Lineage: Bacteria
Description: partial 16S ribosomal RNA
Rfam family: Bacterial small subunit ribosomal RNA
Source: RNAcentral
AUUGAACGCUGGCGGCAUGCUUUACACAUGCAAGUCGAACGGCAGCGCGGGCUUCGGCCUGGCGGCGCGUGGCGAACGGGUGAGUAAUGCAUCGGAACGUGCCCAGUCGUGGGGGAUAGCCCGGCGACAGCCGGAUUAAUACCGCAUACGUCCUGAGGGUGAAAGCGGGGGACCGAAAGGCCUCGCGCUAUUGGCGCGGCCGAUGUCGGAUUAGCUAGUUGGUGGGGUAAAGGCUUACCAAGGCGACGAUCCGUAGCUGGUCUGAGAGGACGACCAGCCACACUGGGACUGAGACACGGCCCAGACUCCUACGGGAGGCAGCAGUGGGGAAUUUUGGACAAUGGGGGCAACCCUGAUCCAGCCAUGCCGCGUGCGGGAAGAAGGCCUUCGGGUUGUAAACCGCUUUUGUUCGGGAAGAAAUCCUCUGGGCUAAUACCCCGGGGGGAUGACGGUACCGGAAGAAUAAGCACCGGCUAACUACGUG